AGAGUUUGAUCCUGGCUCAGGACGAACGCUGGCGGCGUGCCUAAUACAUGCAAGUCGAGCGAGCUUGCCUAGAUGAUUUUAGUGCUUGCACUAAAUGAAACUAGAUACAAGCGAGCGGCGGACGGGUGAGUAACACGUGGGUAACCUGCCCAAGAGACUGGGAUAACACCUGGAAACAGAUGCUAAUACCGGAUAACAACACUAGACGCAUGUCUAGAGUUUGAAAGAUGGUUCUGCUAUCACUCUUGGAUGGACCUGCGGUGCAUUAGCUAGUUGGUAAGGUAACGGCUUACCAAGGCAAUGAUGCAUAGCCGAGUUGAGAGACUGAUCGGCCACAUUGGGACUGAGACACGGCCCAAACUCCUACGGGAGGCAGCAGUAGGGAAUCUUCCACAAUGGACGAAAGUCUGAUGGAGCAACGCCGCGUGAGUGAAGAAGGGUUUCGGCUCGUAAAGCUCUGUUGGUAGUGAAGAAAGAUAGAGGUAGUAACUGGCCUUUAUUUGACGGUAAUUACUUAGAAAGUCACGGCUAACUACGUGCCAGCAGCCGCGGUAAUACGUGGGUGGCAAGCGUUGUCCGGAUUUAUUGGGCGUAAAGCGAGUGCAGGCGGUUCAAUAAGUCUGAUGUGAAAGCCUUCGGCUCAACCGGAGAAUUGCAUCAGAAACUGUUGAACUUGAGUGCAGAAGAGGAGAGUGGAACUCCAUGUGUAGCGGUGGAAUGCGUAGAUAUAUGGAAGAACACCAGUGGCGAAGGCGGCUCUCUGGUCUGCAACUGACGCUGAGGCUCGAAAGCAUGGGUAGCGAACAGGAUUAGAUACCCUGGUAGUCCAUGCCGUAAACGAUGAGU
Molecule: ribosomal RNA, 846 nt
Filed under: uncultured bacterium
Lineage: Bacteria
Description: bacterial SSU rRNA
Rfam family: Bacterial small subunit ribosomal RNA
Source: RNAcentral